RNAcentral lists this long non-coding RNA (1988 nucleotides) under Bemisia tabaci. RNAcentral describes it as "lncRNA ENSSSA2NGG000609". Lineage: Eukaryota; Metazoa; Arthropoda; Insecta; Hemiptera; Aleyrodidae. The record is from RNAcentral.
AAAUGUAGUCCGAUUAAAGAAAUCAAUAAUCUUAUUGUAGAUAUUUUGUAAUCGACAGAUACGAUGGCAGAUAUUGUGCAGCAAGUCAUGACCAAGACUGACGGAUUGCCGGUUCAGGAGAAAAUAGGAGGAGCAGACGAACAUGCCGACGGUACCGAUGUUGAGUGUCAGGAUUCGCUCUCUGAAGAUGCUGAGAAGAAGUCCAACAAAAAGAACGGAAAAAACCCGAGAACGCCUUACAAAAUAGUGCACACGGGCAAGCGGGGAAGAAGAAAAAGAGCAAGAGCAAAAAGAGUCGGGGUGAGAAGGAGAAAAAACAGGAGAAGAAUUCAAGGCAGAAAACCGAUUUGGAGGAAGAGAAUAGUCUGUGUGGCUCUGUUUCCAGUAUUCCGAAGAUUCAAAUCAGCGAAUCAAGUACGCCGGACUCGAAGAAGAUGUCGGAGGCCUCUGGGAGUGCGGAAACUGUUGUCACGACGAAGUUUCCAGGUUCAAGCGAAUCGGGGGAGCCAUCUCCGGAAAAUUCCGGACGGAACACCCCGGAAGAAGUCAGCGAUCCGGUUCCGGCAACGGUGAGUAUCGAGAACGAGGCAGAUGCUGAGAACGGCCGGAAGUCCCUUAAAUUCGGCCUUUUCCGGAAACAUAAGACGACGCCGAUGAACUGCGAACCGGCCGAGGAGACGUGGUCGAGUAAGAGGAACAAGAUGGCCGAGUCACGGACACUGAGUCUGAGUCAAGCGUGGCGUAAAAAAGGCCGUGACGCGGUUAAGAUUUCUGCUGCGUCCGAAUCGGAUCUCACCAUACGAGAUCCGUAAUCCAGUUGCAAAGGUGUACAUUAUCGUCACGAUUUCUGGCGCGGUCACGUCAUAAGAACCCGAAUAGCACAGAUUGCAAUUUCAUGGUAAAAGUACUGCUAUACUGCAUAGGAGUGUGUUGCGUUGGGUAUGUUGCCUAUCUACAGAUUGAAGGAACUCUUAUUUCUUAUAUUUAUUGCAAUAAAAUUGAACUCAGUUGCUAUUUUUCAUUGCAUUGCAUUUUGCAUAUCUUUAUGACGUAUGGAUUUUAUGUUGUCGGUUGUUGAAAAUUGGCAUUUGUUCACCAAAUGACUCAAAAAAAAUUCUUAUAUUAUGGUAAAAAAUUGCAAUUUUAUUGCAAAAAAUUGCGACUUUUCACUCAUAAUUUUUGUUACACAGUGCUAUUUGGGAUGCAGACAGUUUUAAUUGGGACUACUGUUACCACUUUACUUUAAAAUCUAGUCACUUUAGCCUGAAAUUCUUUGUACUAUGUUUUAAGAGACAUUUUUUUUACCAGAAUUUCUAUUAUCAACCGCAAAAAUCUAUACAAAAAAUUCCCUCCACAAACUUUUCUUCCGAUUCUCAAAAUAACUUGGUGAAUCAAAGUUAUACAUUUGACUAAAGUAUAGGAUAAAAUAGAUAUAUAUCAUUUUUAAGUGCGAAUAAAACUUCCCUCAUACUAACUUUUAGGAGGGUAUACAUUAGGGUGGCGCGUUUUUGGACUUUUUUUCGUUUUGAAAAUGGACAUAGCACAAUAGUGGCGAAAUGGUCUAAAAACAACGCCUGAAUUUUCCUGAAUUUUUUCGUCAACAUUUAGGCCUCCCGGAUCGACGUUGAAGUCAGAAUUUGCGGAACAUUCAGAUUUUUGACGAUAACAUGGCAACAAUGGCAAAUACGACAUAAAUGAAUAGGACCAAAGUCGUUGGAAAUUAAAUUUCCAAAACAAAUAACUUUCUACUCGUUUUUUCUCUCAGUGCAACCGUUUUAGUGUAAAAUUCGAAAACCCGUAUUUUUCCAGAAAUUUGACACAAAUUCUCGUUCAGCCCAGGAGAAAUACGGGAGAAAAAGGGCUAACUUGGAACAAAUUGCGUGACUGACUUUUCCUACAAGAAUACCAUAAUCGGGAUGGCCUGAAUAACACAAAAAAUACAAAAUGUUGUCCACGUCUCCACCGCGGAAUACCCCCUAAAAUGCCUA